UACGUAGGCAGCGAGCGUUGUUCGGAGUUACUGGGCGUAAAGCGUGCGUAGGCGGUGUCUUAAGUUUGUUGUGAAAUCUCCCGGCUUAACCGGGAGGGUGCGGCGAAUACUGAGAUGCUGGAGUGCGGGAGAGGUAAGCGGAAUUCCUGGUGUAGCGGUGAAAUUCGUAGAUAUCGGGAGGAACACCGGUGGCGAAGGCGGCGAUCUGGGUCGAUACUGACGCUGAGGUGCGAAAGCGUGGGGAGCAAACAGG
RNAcentral lists this ribosomal RNA (253 nucleotides) under uncultured bacterium. RNAcentral's name for it is "partial 16S ribosomal RNA". It matches the Rfam family "Bacterial small subunit ribosomal RNA", at positions 524 to 776 of the family's 1533-position model. The record is from RNAcentral.